CAACUUUGCUCAUCAUGUUGGUGAACAUCCACGUACCUCCACAAGGACCACAACAGUUAAUCCGUCAGAGAGAAGACCUCUAGAAGAAGGGAUCAGCAGAAGACAACGAAUCCGGCAAACGCGCCAGGGUUUAACACCUUUAAACUUAGGCGAAUUCAGAGUUGGUUCUUCCUCAGAGGGUUCCGGUUCAAGAUCUAGGCACCCCGAUGCGAUUCCAAGACAAAUUGGCCCACCAUCACCACCACCGUGUACGGUGGUGACUAAAGUCCUGCAAUCGCAUCAGGGUCCAACCGUCGAUGGGAUCAGAAUUUGUGGGUCUUGUUAUAACUCGGAUCAUGUUGAUAAUGUUAUCGAAUUUGCAAUUCAAAAGAAAGUUCAAAGGCUUGAGCUAGAGAAAUCGAAAGAAAAAGACGCCAAGUUUUGGGAGAAGCCAUUCAAAAACCCUUUCGGUGUUUCACGCAUUAAGUCCCUUAGACACCUCUCUUUGAAGUACAUAAGUAUAAGCGAUAAAGUUGUUGGGCUGGUUCUAUCCGACUGUCAACUUCUUGAACACCUCAGUAUUUAUGACUCAAGCAAUCUUUGUGUUGUGAAAGCAGUUGGUUCAUCACUCCGGUUGAAGUUCUUGCGAGUAAGUCGUUGCCGUAGCUUAGUCAGAGUUGAGAUUUCUGCCCCUAAUCUUGUGUCAUUUAUAUAUGACGGUCCAAAUAUGUAUAGAAGAGGAAUUGUUUUGAAACAUGCACCCAAGCUUGUCAACGUAUCUCUUUCAGAAGACGAACCUGCUAAUAUUACCAAAGAUCUUCUGUCGAUUACCAGAGAUCUUCUGUCGAUAUCAGCUCGAUUUUCAUAUAUACAGACUCUCAACCUGUCGAUGAAUAUGACAAGACGGGUUAGACUCUCAACCUGUUGUUUACUUUAAAAUUUUCCUAUCUUCUUGUACUUGUUGGCUGAUCAUUUUCAAGUUUUUUGUGUUCCUGUUUGUCAGACAAAUGUUAUGCUUCCACAAUUUCCAGACUUAACUAGUCUCAAAGACUUGUCGUUGACUAUACAUGCCCAAAAUGAUGGGCAAAGUCUCCUGGAUUUGACUUCCUUGUUAGAGCAAUCUCCUUUCUUGCAGAGAUUAACAUUGAAGGUAAAAAUCAAUACAUCUAUUAGAGUGGUUUAUAUCAUCGCAAAGCGUCUAUCACAUUUUUACAAGUCAUAUUUUGAUCCUCUACUUUUCAAAUAGAUGAAUGUGGUCAUCAACCUUGUAUUACUGACAAUUCCGUUGUUCAUAGAAAGGGAAAGUUCGUUUCAUCAGUAUAGUUUACAAGUAGAGUUAUAGAAAGGGAAGGGCCAUUUCAUGAUUUGAGAUCGUAACAAGUGAAAUUGUUCAAUUUUUCUCUUUACUGAAUUAAACUUCUGCAUGUUUUGAACUUUUGAUACAAGCGAUACUGGGGCGGAGAAACCAAACUCGAGACCUUGGGUAUGAGGGUGGAUGCUCUUAACCAACUAAACUACAAGCCAUUUUUCUCAAACUUCUGCAUGUUGAAGUAACUUGUCAUGAGAAGAUUAAUAUGAUUGUUGUAUGCCCCUCUUCCAGAUACAAUGGGGACCUGUUUGCAAGGGUUAUACCAGAAACAUGCAGGAGAUUAAAAGAUGUCCUCAUCAAUGCCUUAAGGAGGUGAGAUUUUCUGGGUUCAUUGGGAUGGGCGGGUCAAUUAUCGAUACAGAGUUUGCCAUGUACCUGUUGGAAAAUGCUGUGGUACUUGAAAAGUUUAUCGUAGAACUUGAAAAGGUUGAAUUAGCUUUAUGGCCCAAUAUACUGCCAUGGUUUGCUACACCGGAGGAGAAAUUAGAAGCAACAAGGGGGCAUGCUUUGCAGCUCAUUGGAACACAACUACCACCAGGAGCCGAGUUGGUUAUCAUUUAAGCCCUUUCAUUUACCUGUUUUUGCAGCGUACUUGAAGCUCAUUUUAGUUUGCAACAUUUAUAUAAUUCGCAGAUUGCAAGUUUGUAAUUACCGAUCAUGUAAUGUUUUAGGGUUAUGAGUUGGGUGUGAUCUUGGUUUGUUGAUGCCUUUUUUCCUAUAUUUGUUUUAUAAUUUUGACAUUUUAUGAAGAGUGCAACUAGAUUUACUACAUGUCAUAUUUUCAUGCCCAUUCUUCCUUAAUGAAAAUGUUUAUUGCAAAUUUUAUUUAAGGCGGGUCGGGUUGGAAAAUAUGAGAAGUGUAGUUUGAAACAGUGUAUAAAAUUUUUCAAUCGAUUUUUUUUUUUGGAAAUAUCGAAAAAAUCAGAUAACAUAUGAAAAUGGAAAGUGAAGUUUAACGUUCACAAGAUGUCAGAGAAACUCUUAAAUUUCAGCUAAAAUCGACAGAUGUUAUUAAUAUUUUUUACAUCUCGAUUAAAUAUAAAAAAACUGCCAUAUAUCCUAAAGUUUCAUUUUAAAUGUCUACGUUUUUUUUAGCAAAUAUCCAUCACUUCCAUCGAAAGCGACUUAAUAUUAGGGAAUUGUUAUUAGCACUCCUAAAAUCUUAUUCUACACUCCAAACUGCAUGUAGGACGUUAGCAAUCCGGAGUCUAUCUUCACCAGGCCAACAAGACUGCAUGUAGGACGUUAGCAAUCCGGAGUCUAUCUUCACCAGGCCAAACGACUCUUCUGAUGAACUGCAACAAUUGACAAAAUCCCCAACUGGAAAGCCCUGGACAGGAAGCCACGAUAAUUUUUCACACUUCUAGUCAUUGGCUGUAAGAUCUAUACUAGAUUUUGUCAUCAACAUUGUAUUAUUGAUAAUUCUGUUCCUCCUAGAAAUCGCAAAAGCGUGGAAUUUAAAAUGAUGAAUUUAAUGUUCGUUUGGAAGUUUUGAAGUUUUUAUCUGUUUUUUUAUUUUUUAUUUUUUUGGCAUAUAGUUGAGAUUAGUGUUCAUUGAACAACCGAGUGGAAAUUAAAAGCAACAGGAAAGCGUAUUUUUACCACUUGUGAUUUUUUUUUUCAUUACCGCAUGAAGCUUUGUUUUGAACUUUUGAUACGAGCAAUAGUGGGGAGGAGAAACCAAACUCGAGACCUCAUAAAUGAGUGUGGAUGCUCCUAACCAACUAAACUACAAGUCAUUUUCUCAAACUUAUGCGUGUUGAAGUAACUCGUCAUGAGAAGAUUAAUAUGAAUGUGGUAUGCUCCUCUUGCAGUUACACUGGGGAUGUCUUCGAAAGGGUUAUAAGAGAAAUAUGCAGGAGAUUAAAAGAUGUCCCCAUCAAUGCCUUAAGGUGGUGAGAUUUUCUGGGUUCAUUGGGAUGGGCGGGUCAAUUAUCGAUAUAAGACUGAAAAUAGCGAAAGUUUGCAUUGACACAUAUCAUUUGAAGAUGCUCUUAUAUUACUGAUCAUAUAAGGUUAAAGGUCUUUGUUUUCAUAUUUAUUUUAGAAUUUUAAAGGUUUUCUUACACGUCUUAUUUUUCACAACAAAAUUUAUAUAAAGUGGGUCGAAAAUGUAACAACCCGUAUCCAAAUUUAUGUUUUCAAUGAGGAAAAUUACGAAAUUACCCUAGUGACGGAAAGGUCGACUUUUGUUGAAUUUCGUCUGUUAACGUAUUAGAAAUUUUCACUUAUUUUAUUCCCGUAGCUCUCGUCGAUAUGAACGUGUAGGCACGAUUGAAAUAGAAUUUGGAACUAAAACAAAGCUUUUACGAUUUUUGUACAAUAGAGGAAAUUAGGUAAUUUUGUGGUGGAUAUUUUUCUCCAUUUUGGGCCUCUACAUGGCCCACACGUGGCGAUUCCCCACCCCAUUAAUUGGGAUGUUUCCUUCCCCACCCAUGAGCCCUCUCUCUCUAGAACACUCUUGCUCUCUCUCGUCUCAUCUCCGGCGAGAUCACUCACACACCCAUACAUACAUACAUACACACAGACAGCUACCCAACCCUCAUCACCUCUAUCUGGACCUCCCUUCUCUCCCUCACCCCUCCGAGCUCUCUCUCUCUCUCUCUUUCACCUUCUUAGCAUUAUGCAUCGUCACUGUGCACGCGGUGUUUCGAUGAGGUAAGUUGAACUCACCCCUAAUAUAUGACGGGUUUAGUAAGGUGUUUCGCAAGUGUUUGAGGCUUUUUGGUAGUGUUUUAACACAGGAACACCACGGAACCAUUUUCUCUAUAUUUUUCGAUGAGACCCGACGACUUUCGAGCUAAUUUCCGGCCACGACACCACUCCAAAAUGGUACAAAUCUCUUUUUCUGGUGUCAAGCUUCAUUUUGGCUUUUGAAUCGUUGCAAAUGGUGCAUAAACAAGCUUGAUCGGAGCUUGGGAAGCUCCAACUUCGUUCUCCGAGAAAACUAGCCUGGAACCAGGUCGACUCGACUCGUGACCCUAUGACACAACUCUAAACCCAGCCCAAAACCUUGGGCCUAUAUAGCCAAGCCCAAAACAGAACCAGGCCCAAUCCUUUAGGCCUAAACCAAAUCCCAAAACCCCCGGCCUAAUCCAGAAACCCAGUUCACGGUUGGCCCGUGGGUGCGCGUGGUGACCGGCGCGUGGAGCACACACGCCUCAGCUGAAGGAACUGUGCUCCACCGCCGUCCACAGCAACAACUUUUGCGGCCAACUUUUCGGUGACUCAUCUUGAUGUAUGGUGGUGUGUGUGGCAACAAGUGGCCUUUCGGGCCGUCGCCUUGUGGCGGCGCGUGGGGGAAACCGGGGUCCCUUCUUAGGUUAUUCGACAUGCCAAAUCCGAAUCUGCUAUCCAUUUUUGGAAAUUCCAUCGUUUUAGUAGAAUUUUAUUAAAUGCACUCUCUUUGUGUUUAGGUGCAACAAUUGGAAACGAUCCAGUCCAUCCUAGUUCGAGUGGUUCUCCGGUAAUGGAGUACUUGUGAGUAGACCCCUUCUAAACUUACACAUUUUUAUAAAAAAAAAUUAGCCUAGCAUGCAUUUCAUACUUAAUGAUUUGAGCAUGUUUUAUAAUAUGUUUGACAGAGAAUUUAUGAUUUCUUUAAAUUGCUUUUACGGAAUAUUUAUGAUUUAUCGAAUUUACAUUUUACUAAAGGUUAUGAAUUAUUAGAAUUGCAUAUAUGAAAUUCUAUGGAUUUAGAAUAUGAGUUAUUUUGCAGGUUUACAGAUAUGAGAUUCCAUGGAUUUACGGAUAUGACUUACUAUGGAUUUAUGAGACGAAGUUUGAGCUUUUGAGCUAUGGUGAUUUGAAAUGAGAUUUUUAAGGUAUGUUUAAGGUACUUAUCUAAUGGGUUAUCAUACAACACAUCCACACAACACAGGUAUGUAGUCUAUGACCAUAUGACACAUUUAAGGAGAUUUAUGUAUAUACCUCUUCUCCGGCGUAACCUAGAGUCGUACAACUUCACCUUUGGGUGAUGGACCAUGGUUUUCUUCACUGGCAUAACCCAGUGGGGUGGUGGAUAGGUAUUGCCUUCAGAUGGAUGAGGAGCAGAUGAUAUUAAUGAUAUACCCCCAACUUCACUAGCCUAGGGUUAGUGUCAGUGUGUGAUGUUAUAUAUCCUCUUCUCUGGCAUAACUCGGAGUCGUACAACUUCACCUUUGGGUGAUGGACCAUGGUUUCUUCACUGGCGUAACCCAAUGUCGUAUAGCUUCACCUUCGGGUGAUGGACAGGUACUGCCUUUGGGCGACUAUGAUAUCCCUAGAAAUAGUACAUUUGAGGAGAUUUACGGAUUUACCUUCGGGCAGCUAUAUUACUAUUUCUGAACCCUGUUUUAUACACAUUGGUUUUACAAAUGAUUUCAUGGCAUGCUAGGGUUUUCUGGGAAACCUAUUAUGUAGUAUUAUAUUUGUUUGUAAAAAGGGGGUUAGUAUGUUCAGACAUAAAAUGGUUUUCCUAUUAUUAGUAUUAAUAAAAAUUAUGGUCCACUCACCUUUUCUUUUUUCGCCCCCUCAGGACAUAUCAACGAAGAGUACGACCCAAGCUUCGAGGCAUGUCCCUAUCAGUGACCUUGCAUCUCUCCACUUCAGUAUGGAUUCUUUUCAUGAUCAUUGUUACCUAUUGUUUUACUUCGCUCUAGCACUUUCGUUUAGUAGUAUGCUCUGGACAUAUUCAUGAUUGUUGAAUACUUCGUUUCGUUCAUGCUUAAAUUGAAUGCAUUGUUGUUAUUGCUUCUUAAUGUUGCAUAUUCGUUGUGAAUGUUAUUUCUUGCAAAAUUUUGUAUUUCUUAUUCAUUCACAUCCUCAUUGAUUCACACACUCAUAGCUUUCGUCAUCCUUGGGUGUCGGCCAACAUGUGCCAUCCAUGUGGCAUUUGGAUAUCUGGGUUGGGGCAUGUCAGUUUGGUAUCAGAGCUUUAUUGGUUCGAUUUUUAUUGAUUCCGCCAUAAUGUUUUACCUCCUCGAUCCGAUUUCAUUGGUUCCUUCUUAUGGUUUUACUGUUGUUGGUCUAGAGCAUACUUAAGAUUUCGCAUUACUCCCUUGAUUGUUAUUUCCCUUCCCUUGGUUGUUAUUUCGCUCCAAUAAUUUUUAUUUUCUUCCAUUGAUUGUUAUUUCCUUCCAUUCUAUAUAUUUCCUACCAUUGAUUUGUAUUUCCUUCUAUUGAUUGCUAGUUCAUCCAUUAAUUGUUAUUUCCUUCCAUGGAUGGUGGUUUCCUUCCAUUGUUGGUUAUUUCCUUCUAAUCAUUUUUAUUUCUUUUCAUUGGUUGUUAUUUCCUUUCCACUAUUACUAUGUCUUUCCAUUAAUUGUUAACUUCUUCAGAUUAUCGUUGUCUUACUCCAUUAAUUGUUAUUUCUAUCCGUUGAGUACUACUUCCUCCUGUUGACUACUAAUUUCUCCCGUCUUGAUUGAGAAAUAUUUUGUGAUGCUAAACUUUAUUUUUGUUGUUUCUCAUAAUCAUGAACACUCAUGGCGGAAAUGUAUCUCGUCGCAAUAAUAUUAUCUCGUGGCAAUAAUAUUCCUCAACGCCCACAUUUUGGUGUGUUAGGUAGAUUUCAGCAACUGGCUUCCGCUCUGCAACAUGUGUUCCCUAGGAACAGCGGGCAUAGCCACACCUACGUGGAGAUUGCCCGUGUCACGGGGUGAUUGAUUUGAAUAUUGUGGGCGCCUGUGAGGAGGCAAAAGAGUGGCUUGAAAAAGUUGAGGAUGUUUUUAAGGUGAUGCAUUGUCCUGAGAAAGAGCGGGCAAAAACAAUUGGUCAUUUUCUUCGAGAUGGUGCUAAGACCUGGUGGGAUUCUAUCAGACGAUCUUGGCCUUCUAACCCACCGACGACAUGGAGGAUUUUCCGAGAACUUUUUACAGAUUAUUUCCUUAGUCCUCAGUACAUAGCUAGAAAAAGACAAGAAUUUUAUGCUCUUCGCCAAGGAAACUUGUCAGUUAUCGAGCUCGAUUGCCAUUUUAGACGUUUGGUGAAACAUGUUCCCUCAGUUGAUGGUAACUAGCGGGAAAUGAUGUAUCAUCUUGGUAUCACUCUAAGGGAUAAGUUCCGCCCUUUUAUGUCAGUGACACAGUUUGACUCUUAUAAUAGUAUGAUCCAUACAACAUUACGAGUAGAGUGAUCAUUCCUAACUUCCAACAGUCAUAAUCGGUUUCGAGGUCAAUCUUCUCGGGGUCGAUGUUUCCGAUCACAGAGCACUAGAGAGUGCACUUCAUCAUCUAAUAUUGACCCGAGACAUUCAUUUUCGUUCAAAUGUCGUGGACAGGGAUCAUGAUCUUCUAAUGAGGGGUCAGGCAGCGAGGCAGCGAGACAGUUCUUCAGCCACUUCACACCCGCAAUCCCAAUGUGCAUGCGUUGUGGUAAACGUCACCGAGGAGGUUGUGUUGCCGGGGAUGGUCUAUGCUUCAGAUGUGGAGGUAUAAGACACUAUGCUCGUGACUGCCCUAUAAGGCGACCUUUUAAGAGCAUUGCAUCGGGUUCAGGCUAUGCUGGGGGGAGUAGCUCAGGUACUCAGGAGCAGAGCCAGGCACAUCAGCAGAGUUUGUGGACGGCUUCUGGCAACUGCACGUAGAGUAAUUGCCCAGGUAGAGGGUAAUCGUGGUGUUCGCACUCGCAGAGGUAGAGGUCGCAGCUCAAGUCAAGGUUACUGGGCGCAUUAACGUUAUGACUCAUCAGGAGGCAUAACAGGAUCCCCAAGUCAUCACAUGUAUGAUAUUCACUUUUGAUCGUUGGGUACAUGUUUUGAUUGAUCCGGGUGCUACAUUUUCAUUUAUAUCAUCACAGUUGGCACAGACUGUGAACCUGCAACCAACUGAGAUUGGUUUUGAUAUACUGCAUACAGUUACCUCAUGGUGAGAUAUUAUGUGCACAGUAGGAGUUUAAACAUUGCCCAAUUUAUGUAGAAGGUGUACUAUUUGAGGUGACUUUGAUUCCUUUUAAUUUGGUAGACUUUGAUCUCAUACUAGGGAUGGACUGGUUAUCUGUGCACGAUGCGCAUGUCGGUUGUAGGAGUAAAAUAAUGACCUUUCCUCGAUCUGGACAACCAGAUAUUGUAUUUCAAGGAGAACAAUGAAUUCUCCAUAACAAUAUUAUUUCUACCCACAAGGCAAUAAAGUCCUUACAGAAAGGUUGUGAGGGGUUCUUAGCUUAUGCAGUCGCACCGAGCGAACCUUCUGUUAGUGUUGACCAUGUGCCUAUCGUUUUAGUAGAGUUUUAUUAAAUGUACUCUCUUUAUGUUUUGGUGCAACAGUUGGAAGCGAUUCAGUCCAUCCUAGUUCGAGUGGCUCUCUAGUAGUGGAGUACUUUUGAGUGGACCCCUUCUAAACUUAAUUAUUUUUUUAUAAAAUAUUAGCCUAGCAUGCAUUUCAUACUUCAUGAUUUGAGCACGUUUUAUAAUAUGUUUUACGGAGAAUUUUAAAUUGCUUUUAUGGAAUAUUUAUGAUUUAUCGAAUUUACGUUUUACUAAAGGUUUUGAAUUAUUAGAAUUGCGUAUAUGAAAUUCUAUGGAUUUAGAAUAUGAGUUAUUUUGCAGGUUUACGAAUAUGAGAUUCCAUGGAUUUAUGGAUAUGACUUACUAUGGAUUUAUGAGACAAGGUUUGAGCUUUUGAGCUCCAAUGGUUUGAUAUGAGAUUUUUAAGUAUGUUUUCGGUACUUAUCUAGUGGAUUAUCAUACCACACAUCGACACAAUACAUGUAUGUAGACGUCUAUGGCCAUAGGACACAGUUGAGGAGAUUUAUGUAUAUACCUCUUCUCCGACAUAACCCGAAAUCGCACAGCUUCACCUUCGGGUGAUGGACCAUUGUUUUCUUCACUGAUGUAACCCAAUGGGGUUGUGGACAGGUAUUGCCUUCGGGCGGAUGAUGAGUAGAUGAUAUUGAUGAUAUACCCCCAGCUUCGCUAGCCCAGGGCUAGUGUCGGUGUGUGAUGUUAUAAUCCUCUUCUUCGGCGUAACCCGAAGUUGUACAACUUUAUCUUCGGGUGAUGGACCAUGGUUUCUUCACUGGCGUAACCCAAUGUCGUACAGCUUCACCUUCGGGUGAUGGACAGGUACUGCCUUCGGGCGACUAUGAUACCCCUAGAAAGAGUACAUUUGAGCAGAUUUACGGAUAUACCUUCGGGCGGCUAUACUACUAUUUUCGAGCCCUGUUUUAUAUGCAUUUGUUUUACGAAUGAUUUCAUGGCAUGCUAGGGUUUUCUAAGAAACCUAUUAUGUAGUAUUAUAUUUGUUUUUAAAACAGGGGGUUAGUAUGUUUAGACAUAAAAUGGUUUUCCUAUUAUUAGUAUUAAUAUAAAUUAUGAUCCACUCAUCUUUUUUGUUUUGCGCCCCCUCAGGACAUAGCGACAAAGAGUACGACCCGAGCUUCAAGGCAUUUCCCUAUCAGUGACCUUGCAUCUCUCCACUUGAGUAUGGAUUCUUUUCAUGAUCAUUGUUACCUGUUAUUUUACUUCGCUCUAGCACUUUCUUUUAGUAGUAUGCUCUAAACAUAUUCAUGAUUGUUGAAUACUUCGUUUCGUUCAUGCUUAAAUUGAAUGCAUUGUUAUUAUUGCUUCUUAAUGUUGCGUAUUCGUUGUGAAUGUUGUUUCUUGCAAAAUUUUGUAUUGCUUGUUCAUUCACAUACUCACUGAUUCACACACUCAUGGCUUUCGUCACUCUUGGGUGUCAACCAGCACGUGUCAUCCAAGUGUCAUUUGAAUAUCUGGGUUAGGAUGUGUCAGAAAAUUUGAAUGAAUAUGUGAGAAUAACAACCAUUCUCUUUGAAUAUCUAAAUAUAACAAAUGCUACUCUUGUCAUAUUUUUAUAUCAUAUUUGUAGUUGUACUCUUCUUUAAUAGAGAUAGAAUGCACUUGUGUUGGUACGUCCUAUUUUUAUUAGCGAGAUAAUACAAAUAUAAUAUGAAAAAUGUAAUAAUUGUAGAAUUAUUCCUAAAUAUAUAGUCUUAAACUAUACCUAAGGCUCCGAACAUAUGAAAACAUAAAGGAGAUAAACAAGAGGAUAAUUGCUUAUAAAGGAAAAACAAGAGGGAGAGUGCAAAAUAACUAUUUUUGGCUAUAACAAAGUCCUUAUGUUGAAUCAUUUUUGUAAUCAUUUUUUUUGUCUCAUUGUGUAAAAAAAAAAUUUAAUCAUUUUAUUAAAAAAAAUUAUUAUGUAGAGAUGAUAUUUAAAGGUGAUUAUUAUUUUUUUAUUAUACAAACGAUAUUAUCGUCACUGAGGGAAAUUGAGUUUAACCUCACAAUGAGCUAACAAUACAGUGGUUCAACUUCACCUUUAGCAAGAAUCGAACCUGAGAUCUCUCACUGACAAAUGAAGAGAAAUACUAUUUGACGAGAAUCAAACUUAAAACCUCUCAUUUACAUGUAAAAAAAGAAAAACUAUUAAAGUGGCAUAUUUAAAGAGUGACUUGAAGGUAUAAAGAAAAGUUUAAAGAGGAAGGUAUCCAGCUUUCCGUUUCCUCCAUGUCUCUUUUUUUCUGCAUGUUAGCUUCUCUAGUAAGCUCGAGUAUCCAUUUUCCAACCCCAACACCCUCCCCACAUUUCCGGCUGUCCACGUUGGCCAAUCAUCACCUGAGCCACUCUCAACCCUCACCACGGUGCCAACCCCUCCACCACCACCCCCACCACCUCCUCCUCCUCUCUCCGAUCUCCCCAAAUUCCAGUUACGAAAUCCUAAAAACAAGUAAGUUCCCUUCUUCCUCGCUAUUUAACAUUAUCUAGUUUAUUUGAUAUCUUCCAUGAAUUUAUAUUUUAUCGCCUAUGAAAUCCACGAAUAUUAAGUACUUAGUUACAUUUAGCGUUUUUGAAAAUUAUAAAAAUUAGUUUCAAAUCGAUUAUCAAGUAAUUUAGCUGCUAAACUGACUGGCAUAUGAUAGGAUUUUUAACAUCUAUGCAAAUAGGGUCAAAAUCACAUGAAAUACUUGCAAGAAUACAAGGAUAUUGUAGUAUAGAUGCUCAUGCAAGGUCGUUUUCCUCGAUGACUAUUUGGAUAAUUUAUGUAGAAACAAUUCCUAAUUAAAUACUUAGAAUUAAAACUUGAGAAAAGAGAGUUUGAGAGUGGAUAAUAUUAAAAAACGAAUUUUAAACAAAGACUAAAAUAAUCGAAGAAAAGAGUUUUAAAUACCAAUUUAUAAAGGCACUAAGGUUCCACCAUCACCUAACAAUCCUAUGAAUUGCUACCAAUUACUUACGAUUUACACAUGCCACUUCGAAGGUUAGGUUUUCCUAAUAUAUAUUCUCCUCGUGAUGUUCAAGCAAGAACGUAUAUCUAACAUGCAAUCCGUCUGUGAUAUUCAGAUCAAAUAUGAACAUGCAAGACUCAUUAAGUUUUAUGAAAACCUUUUGAAGAACCAUGCAACCCCUAAGAACGUGAUAUUCACCUUAGAUGAAAUUAAAAUUAUCAAUCACAAGAAGCAAUACUCAAUCCUCCGGUGAUAUUCCGACCGAAUUGCAUCCAAUUACUUGUCUAAACAUCCUAAUGGUGGCCAAUCAUCAAGAUAAUAAGAUAGUUUAAAACGGCAAUCAAUAAUUCAAAGUAUGCAUGGUUUCGCCCUAGCAAAAAGAAUUAGUUAUGCAUAUUCAUAAUUGAAAUCAUAGAAAAUAUUAUUAAAAAUAAAAGGAAUGAAAGCAUCUUAAAGUAGAAAAUCUCCAAGAACCAUAGCCAAGUUCUUUGUCUCUGAAAUUGAAUAAUAAUAAGCGUCCUCAAAAACUGUAGACGGCCAAAGCAAUAUAUUUGCUCAGCCCUUACAAACCCUAAGACCUUGGUUUCUUAUUCCAACUAGGAAACUAAGAAAAAAUAAUAAAAAUAUCUUAGAAAAUAAAACCCUAAUAUCUGCCAAGUACUUGUCCAGCCACGUUUUAGUCUCAGAUCUCCUCCAAAUCCGGCCCAAGAUAGGUUGUUUUAAAGAUAAGGACGUUCCAAACACAUCUCCAGAAGGCCACGAAACCAUCCGAGGUUAUCUUAGGCUCCAAAAACGCAAUUUAAUCCCACAAAUGUCAUUUUCCAGCACCGCGCAUCACUCCUUUAUUUUAUCGCCAAAAAAUAAUCGCUUGAUGGAAAAAUCCCAAAUUUUGAUACGACCAAGCUAAGUGACUCACGAACGUCUUCCAACUAGAAUUACUCCAAAAUUCGUCCAUUUGACCACGUUUUUCUCCAGAGGAAGUCGAAAGUCCUAUAUUGAAAAUACAAUUCAAAGUAUCAAAAUUCUUCCAAAAUAUUAACCAAAAUAUACUAAAAAUAGGGUUAAAUAUAUAAUAUAAAAUUCACUUAUCAGCAUACUUACUGACUGACUGGUUCUUUGUAGAUUUUGCUAAUUUGCCUCAGAAUCUGCAGCUUAUCUGACUAAAUUGUUCCAGUAUUUAGUUCAAUAGUUAGCAAAUCGAAGAAGGUUCGAUGGAAAUUCCAACUGCAUCAACAUAUGAUAAAAAACAAGAUAAAACUCUCCAAUGAAUUUGGGUGAUAAGGGAGAAACAAGUAAUCAUUUGGAGGAUCGGAUUGGUCAACUGCCGGACGCGAUUCUGAUUAACAUCAUUUCCCCUUUGAGGAUUAAGGAAGUAGCAAGGACUAGUGUCCUCUCUAAGAGGUGGAGAUAUUUGUGGACACAUGUUACACGUCUCAACUUUGCUCAUCAUGAUGGUGAACAUCUACGUACCUCCAUAAGGACCACAACAGUUAAUCCGUCAGAGAGACGUCGUCUAGAAGAAGCGACCAACAGAAGACAACGAAUCCGGCAAUCGCACCAGGGUUUAACACCUUUAAACUUAGGUGAAUUCAGAGGUGGUUCUUCCUCAGCAGGUUCCGGUUCAAGAUCUAGGCACCCCGAUGGGAUUCCAAGACAAAUUG
This 13176-nucleotide long non-coding RNA is filed under the name Malus domestica (apple). RNAcentral's name for it is "long non-coding RNA (MDOM_LNC001503)". Lineage: Eukaryota; Viridiplantae; Streptophyta; Magnoliopsida; Rosales; Rosaceae. The record is from RNAcentral.